CAUAAAAAUAAAAAAAUACAAAUACAAAAAUACAAAUACAAUUAUCGAAACACAAAUAUAAGGUAUUCAGAAGAUGUAAUAUAUAGUGUAAAAUCUGUGAUGUUGUGUGCCCCUUUAAGAGGCGGGGCCUGGGAACUGACAUGUGUGAUAUCAGUUUGCUACAGUUGUUGUUUGUUACUAUGGUUUGUUUUAUGGUUUACUAGGGUGCCGUGUGCCAGUGAUUGAAGUGUGUUGUUGCUCCUGUGUGAAUAUUAACUGCAUAUGUGUGCUCUCCACAGUUACAGAAGUAUUCUAUUAUUAUGACCUCUUGGUGUCAGGAAUGUUCCAUUGAUGAGACAAUAGCCACCAAGUAUGCUGUCAUUGUGUGAGUCAAAUGUGAGGCUAUGUACUGUAUUUUCCCCUCUACAAGGCGCACUUAAAAGCCUGGAGGAUUAACAAAAGAACUCCAACCACUGGACAAAAUGGAGUUGCGAGCAGCACCGGGCGACUUACUGCUUUAACUGUUUGCUUUGGCGAAAGCUGGCAUCGUUGCUGAACAGCCACCUAACAACGAAACUGACUCCAACAAUGAUGAGAGUGAACCUGACAUGUUUGAUGGAGAACAUUGCCCACCUGUUUGAUUCAGACACAGAAGAUAAGGACUUUGAUGGAUUUGUAGGAGAAUAUUAAUUAAAAAUACGAGGAGUGUAUUGUUAAACGGUAGAAUUUAACUCACUGCUUUUCUUCCGUUGCCUAUUUUUUUUUGUAAACCGCAUGACCUUAUAAUACGGUGCAACUUAUAUGUGUUAAGUACAGAAAUAGACCCCGUAAUUGAGACUGUGUUUUAUAAUGUGGUGUGCCUGAUGGUGUGGAAAAUAUCGUAAUGUCUUAUUUAUGUAAAAUAUUACUUAUUUUCCAUUAUUAUGUAAUCUACAUAUCGGCAAUACAAGUGUGAAAGUGAUUUAAAUCGCUCAUUUUAAUUUGAAAUUUACUUACGGUCUGUUUGGUUCCAAAAAGACUGUAAAGGGGGGGGGGUUAAUUUGGUAUUUUUUGGAAAAUUUGUACAUGAUGUAAGCUGCAAUGCAAAUAUGAUUGCCCCAUUGUAUUUAACAUGUGUGCCUGUCAAGCUAAAGGGUGAGUCACAUGGGUAUCCAUGACACAUUGUAAUGACGAUGUGCCUGGAAUAGAAAAAAAGGAUGAAGCCGGCAUUUUGUCAUGAAGAUAACCCACGGCAGAAAGCUCUAUGUAGUCCCACAUGAAAUGACACUACCAUCCAGGGAUUUGGGUUGAAAAUUGUGAUCCCAACGCUUCCAGGCUAUAAUCUGGUCCACUUUCUUUGAAAGAAUCCCAAUGGGAUCUCAGGACCUUGAAAUGCCAUCAUUAAAGUAACCCACUCAGUUAAA
Molecule: non-coding RNA, 1382 nt
Organism: Doryrhamphus excisus (bluestripe pipefish)
Lineage: Eukaryota; Metazoa; Chordata; Actinopteri; Syngnathiformes; Syngnathidae
Source: RefSeq, a predicted model, not a curated record